Molecule: RNA transcript, 1310 nt
Organism: Quercus lobata
Lineage: Eukaryota; Viridiplantae; Streptophyta; Magnoliopsida; Fagales; Fagaceae
Gene name: 2-alkenal reductase (NADP(+)-dependent)-like
Exons: 5
Source: RefSeq, a predicted model, not a curated record
CAAUCCGGUAGCAACAUUCCCUAAACCAAUCACAAAGUCUGAUUGCACAGUACUCUUGUCUAGUUAUCUCAUCGAUUUUUUUUUUCCUUCUGUAUUUAACACUCAUUGAUACUACUACCAGUACGAGCUUCAUUUAUUAAAAAUGGCAAGUGAUGGUGAUGAUGAGCAAGUGAGCAACAAACAAGUGAUCUUAAAGAACUAUGUCACUGGUUCUCCUAAAGAAUCAGACAUGUACGCGAGUAGCAAUGGUACCAUAAAGUUGAAUGUCCCAGAAGGUACUAAUGGGGUUGUGGUGAAGAAUCUCUACAUGUCUUGCGAUCCCUACAUUCUUAUCCAAAUGAAGAAGCCCGACACAAACUCCUUGAAGUCCCCCGAUUCAGCACUUACUGGAUUUGGCGUGGCUAAAGUUUUGGAUUCUAGGAAUCCAAAUUUCAAGAAAGGUGACUUAGUUUGGGGAAUAACAGGAUGGGAAGAAUAUAGUUUAAUUACGGAUUUUCAGAAAAUGUUUAAAAUCCAACACACUAAUGUGCCACUGUCCUACUAUACCGGCAUUCUUGGUAUGCCUGGUUUAACAGCUUAUUGUGGUUUUCAUGAGGUUUUCUAUCCAAAGAAAGGAGGGCAUGUCUUCAUUUCAGCAGCUUCUGGAGCAGCUGGUCAGCUUGUUAGGCAGUUUGCAAAGUUGUUUGGUUGCUAUGUUGUUGGAAGUGCUGGAAGCAAAGAAAAGGUUGAUUUGCUGAAGAACAAAUUAACGUUUGACGAGGCUUUCAACUAUAAAGAAGAGCCUGACUUGGAUGCAGCUUUGAAAAGAUACUUUCCAGAAGGUAUUGAUAUUUAUUUUGAGAAUGUUGGGGGAAAGAUGCUUGAUGCCGUGCUACACAACAUGAGGGUCCAUGGCCGCGUUGCUGUAUGUGGAAUGAUCUUACAGUACAACCUUGAGCAGCCUGAAGUUUGCACCAUAUAAUGAGUGUGGCUUGGAAACAGAUCCGGAUAGAAGGAUUCCUUGUUUUUGAUUACUACCACCUCUAUCCAAAGUUUCUGGAGUUUGUUCUGCCUUACAUCAAAGAGGGAAAGAUUACUUAUUUGGAAGAUAUAGCUGAAGGCCUCGAGAGUGCCUCAGAAGCAAUGGUAGGGCUCUUCUCUGGCCGUAAUGUUGGAAAACAGGUCGUGGUAGUUGCUCAUGAAUGAAUGACUUUGUAUACAACCUCAUGGUCCAAAAACUCUAGGUCCAGGUGGAUUAUUUACUGCAAAUGUAUCUUCUAUUGGAUUUUGUUGGUAACAAUAUAGUUUUAUAUCCUUAAUAAAGCGUCAUG